This 1030-nucleotide long non-coding RNA is filed under the name Mustela putorius furo (domestic ferret). RNAcentral's name for it is "lncRNA (ENSMPUG00000029710.1)". Lineage: Eukaryota; Metazoa; Chordata; Mammalia; Carnivora; Mustelidae. The record is from RNAcentral.
GGCUAGUAUGAUUGAGGAACUGUAUUUUCACCUUUAUUUGAUUUUAAUGAAUUUAAGCCUAAAUGGCCACACAUGGCAAGGGGCUACCUCCAAGUUCUAGAACCUCUCAAUCAUGAUCUCAUGGGAGAAGGAUUCUUACCCACAGUGACGCAGGAGAAUCAACUGAAGCUUUUACAAAAUUCAAGUACUUAACUCCACUUCAGAUUUCCUGACUCAGAACCUCUGGUGUUUGUGCUAUAAUGGUCUGCGAAGCUCCUUGCUGCUCGAAAUUCUCUAAAAGAAAAAGAGGAAAUGUUACCAUAGAAGUUUAUGCAUUAGCUCAGCUGCUCAUUAGUGGAGAUUAAAACUUUUUGGAUGGAUUUAUUGCCUUUUACAUUCACCUAGCUGAGAACAAGACCCUGAAGCAACAGCAAGGGGAAAAAAGAGGGGUCGGUUUUAAUAGAGAAGGCGGCAGCCAAGAAAGUCCCAAGAAUUUGGCAAUCGAUGCCCAUGCCUUUGUGGGCUUUGUGUUGGCAUCUCUGGGCCGCCCAAGGUCAGCAUGAAGGCACUAGAAAAAAAGAGCCUACUGUCAAUACCUUUUACCCCCUAAAAUGUUUUCUGGAGUCACCUGGCAGUUCAAGGGGUGGUGCCAAGAGAUCCGGAAUGGAACAGACCCACGGUAUGAAGAGGGAAGGUCUAGGCCCACCUGCCCCCUUCCAUGAAACCAAACUCAAGCGUCUGCAUCAAGAGCAUGACUUCAGGCAAUCUUGGAUAGCUUCUCCAACUCCGACAACAUUCCAUGAUACAAAGAAUACGUAAACUAGGCUUUGAAGAGAAAAGAAUGAAACUCUACAAGUCAAGCACAAAAGAAGGAGGAGGAGGAGGAGGAGGAGGAGAAGAAGAAGAAAAACAACCUAGAAGCCUAUUUUUCACACCCCUUUCUUGCUCACCCAUUAGAAAUCUUGAAAUCUCCUCCCCAGCAAUAAUUCUUCUGUGACUUCUCAUUAGAAACCUGCUUAAGAUAGAAUAUUAACUCAUAGCAAUAAAGUUG